Molecule: ribosomal RNA, 480 nt
Filed under: uncultured bacterium
Lineage: Bacteria
Description: partial 16S ribosomal RNA
Rfam family: Bacterial small subunit ribosomal RNA
Source: RNAcentral
AAUGAACGUUGGCGGCGUGGAUUAGGCAUGCAAGUUGAGCGCGAACCCCGCAAGGGGUGAAAGCGGCGAAAGGGAGAGUAACGCGUGGGUAUUUACCCUCGGGACUGGGAUAGCUGCGGGAAACUGCAGGUAAUACCAGAUGACGUCCCCGGACCAAAGGUGUGAUUCCGCCUGAGGAUAAGCCCGCGUCCUAUUAGCUAGUUGGUGAGGUAAUGGCUCACCAAGGCAAUGAUGGGUACUGGGUGUGAGAGCACGACCCAGCUCACUGGGACUGAGACACUGCCCAGACGCCGACGGGUGGCUGCAGUCGAGAAUCUUCGGCAAUGGGCGCAAGCCUGACCGAGCGACGCCGCGUGUGGGAUGAAGGCCUUCGGGUUGUAAACCGCUGUCAGAGGGGAGGAAUGGGCGGAGGGUAAUCUCUUCGUUUUGACCUAUCCUCAGAGGAAGUACGGGCUAAGUUCGUGCCAGCCGCCGCAGUAA